Molecule: ribosomal RNA, 518 nt
Filed under: uncultured bacterium
Lineage: Bacteria
Description: bacterial SSU rRNA
Rfam family: Archaeal small subunit ribosomal RNA
Source: RNAcentral
AACCUCCGCAAUGUGAGAAAUCGCGACGGGGGGAUCCCAAGUGCCAUUCUUAACGGGAUGGCUUUUCAUUAGUGUAAAGAGCUUUUGGAAUAAGAGCUGGGCAAGACCGGUGCCAGCCGCCGCGGUAACACCGGCAGCUCUAGUGGUAACAAUUUUUAUUGGGCCUAAAGCGUCCGUAGCCGGUUUAAUAAGUCUCUGGUGAAAUCCUGCAGCUUAACUGUGGGAAUUGCUGGAGAUACUAUUAGACUUGAGACCGGGAGAGGUUAGAGGUACUCCCAGGGUAGAGGUGAAAUUCUGUAAUCCUGGGGGACCGCCUGUUGCGAAGGCGUCUAACUGGAACGGUUCUGACGGUGAGGGACGAAAGUUAGGGCGCGAACCGGAUUAGAUACCCGGGUAGCCUAACUGUAAACGAUGCGGACUUGGUGUUGGGGUGGCUUUGAGCUGCUUCAGUGCCGAAGGGAAGCUGUUAAGUCCGCCGCCUGGGAAGUACGGUCGCAAGACUGAAACUUAAAGGAAUU